UACGUAGGGAGCAAGCGUUGUCCGGAAUCAUUGGGCGUAAAGCGCGCGUAGGCGGCCCUGUAAGUCCGUUGUGAAAGUCAAAGGCUCAACCUUUGAAAGCCGAUGGAUACUGCAGGGCUGGAGUCCGGAAGAGGCGAGUGGAAUUCCUGGUGUAGCGGUGGAAUGCGCAGAUAUCAGGAGGAACACCAAUAGCGAAGGCAGCUCGCUGGGACGGUACUGACGCUGAGGAGCGAAAGCAUGGGGAGCGAACAGG
RNAcentral lists this ribosomal RNA (253 nucleotides) under uncultured bacterium. Its description in RNAcentral is "partial 16S ribosomal RNA". It matches the Rfam family "Bacterial small subunit ribosomal RNA", at positions 524 to 776 of the family's 1533-position model. The record is from RNAcentral.